GAUGAACGCUGGCGGCGUGCUUAACACAUGCAAGUCGAACGGGAAAUACUUUAUUGAAGCUUCGGCCGAUUUGAUUUAUUUCUAGUGGCGGACGGGUGAGUAACGCGUGGGUAACCUGCCUUAUACUGGGGGAUAACAGCCAGAAAUGACUGCUAAUACCGCAUAAGCGCACAGAACCGCAUGGUUCCGUGUGAAAAACUCCGGUGGUAUAAGAUGGACCCGCGUUGGAUUAGCUAGUUGGCAGGGCAGCGGCCUACCAAGGCGACGAUCCAUAGCCGGCCUGAGAGGGUGAACGGCCACAUUGGGACUGAGACACGGCCCAGACUCCUACGGGAGGCAGCAGUGGGGAAUAUUGCACAAUGGGGGAAACCCUGAUGCAGCGACGCCGCGUGAAGGAAGAAGUAUCUCGGUAUGUAAACUUCUAUCAGCAGGGAAGAUAAUGACGGUACCUGACUAAGAAGCC
This 463-nucleotide ribosomal RNA is filed under the name uncultured bacterium. RNAcentral describes it as "bacterial SSU rRNA". It matches the Rfam family "Bacterial small subunit ribosomal RNA", at positions 28 to 492 of the family's 1533-position model. The record is from RNAcentral.